This 216-nucleotide unclassified non-coding RNA is filed under the name Melitaea cinxia (Glanville fritillary). Its description in RNAcentral is "misc RNA ENSMCXG00005009157.1". Lineage: Eukaryota; Metazoa; Arthropoda; Insecta; Lepidoptera; Nymphalidae. The record is from RNAcentral.
UUACGUGUUAGGGUUCGAAGGAUUUGGAGAGAAAAACCUGCUGACUCUUUCCAAGACUUUAUUCACUAGCACUAGGUCCAACACAAAGCACUAGGUUUAAACACUAAGCACUCACGAUGUCCUCAGUCGUAGCCAAUGUCGUAGGUUUCGCUGGUACCACUCUUGAUCACUAGUUUUCACUCUUGAAGUCGCCUCGAAGAUCGCUCAAACUGAACU